GCUACCACAUCCAAGGAAGGCAGCAGGCGCGCAAAUUACCCACUCCCGGCACGGGGAGGUAGUGACGAAAAAUAACGAUACGGGACUCAUCCGAGGCCCCGUAAUCGGAAUGAGCACACUUUAAAUCCUUUAACGAGUAUCCAUUGGAGGGCAAGUCUGGUGCCAGCAGCCGCGGUAAUUCCAGCUCCAAUAGCGUAUAUUAAAGUUGUUGCGGUUAAAAAGCUCGUAGUCGGACUUGUGUCCCACGCUGCCGGUUCACCGCCCGUCGGUGUCUAACUGGCAUGCACGUGCGGACGUCCUGCCGGUGGCCCGAUCCCGGCCUGUCUUUUCCGGGGUGCGGAAACGUUUCCUCGGGAGCGGGUGUCUUUGGGUAGGGCCUACUCAUACCCGUCGCGGUGCUCUUAACCGAGUGUCUCGAUGGGCCGGCACGUUUACUUUGAACAAAUUAGAG
This 451-nucleotide ribosomal RNA is filed under the name Geoscapheus robustus. RNAcentral describes it as "SSU rRNA". It matches the Rfam family "Eukaryotic small subunit ribosomal RNA", at positions 406 to 771 of the family's 1831-position model. Lineage: Eukaryota; Metazoa; Arthropoda; Insecta; Blattodea; Blaberidae. The record is from RNAcentral.